GAUGAACGCUGGCGGCGUGCUUAAUACAUGCAAGUCGAGCGAACAGAUGAGGAGCUUGCUCCUCUGACGUUAGCGGCGGACGGGUGUGUAACACGUGGAUAACCUCCCUAUAAGACUGGUAUAACCUCGGGAAACCGGCGCUAAUACCGGAUAAUAUCUUGAACCGCAUGGUUCAAUAGUGAAAGACGGUUUUGCUGUCACUUAUAGAUGGAUCCCCGCCGCUUUAGCUAGUUGGUAAGGUAACGGCUUACCAAGGCUACGAUGCGUAGCCGACGGGAAGGGGGGGUAGGCCACACGGGAACGGGGACGCGGUCCAGACGCCUACGGGAGGGAGCAGUAGGGAAUCUUCCGCAAUGGGCGAAAGCAUGACGGAGCAGCGCCGCGUGAGUGAUGAAGGUCUUCGGAUCGUAAAACUCUGUUAUUAGGGAAGAACAAAUGUGUAAGUAACUAUGCACGUCUUGACGGUACCUAAUCAGGAAGCCACGGCUAACUACGUG
This 497-nucleotide ribosomal RNA is filed under the name uncultured bacterium. Its description in RNAcentral is "partial 16S ribosomal RNA". It matches the Rfam family "Bacterial small subunit ribosomal RNA", at positions 28 to 507 of the family's 1533-position model. The record is from RNAcentral.